GCCGGGUGUAGUGGCGUGCACCUGUAGUCCUAGCUACUCGGGAGGCUGAGACAGAAGAAUCGGUUGAACCCGGGAGGCAGAGGUUGCAGUGAGCUGAAAUCGCACCACUGCACUCUAGCCUGGGCAACAGAGUGAGAUUCCGUCUCAA
This 148-nucleotide non-coding RNA is filed under the name Nomascus leucogenys (northern white-cheeked gibbon). The record is from Rfam by way of RNAcentral. Lineage: Eukaryota; Metazoa; Chordata; Mammalia; Primates; Hylobatidae.